Molecule: long non-coding RNA, 630 nt
Organism: Oncorhynchus keta (chum salmon)
Lineage: Eukaryota; Metazoa; Chordata; Actinopteri; Salmoniformes; Salmonidae
Exons: 3
Source: RefSeq, a predicted model, not a curated record
GGUGUGUUAGUAAGGUUAGGUGUGUUGGUAAGGUUAGGUGUGUUAGUAAGGUUAGGUGUGUUGGUAAGGUUAGGUGUGUUGGUAAGGUUAGGUGUGUUAGUAAGGUUAGGUGUGUUGGUAAGGUUAGGUGUGUUGGUAAGGUUAGGUGUGUUAGUAAGGUUAGGUGUGUUAGUAAGGUUAGGUGUGUUAGUAAGGUUAGGUGUGUUGGUAAGGUUAGGUGUGUUGGUAAGGUUAGGUGUGUUGGUAAGGUUAGGUGUGUUGGUAAGGUUAGGUGUGUUGGUAAGGUUAGGUGUGUUAGUAAGGUUAGGUGUGUUGGUAAGGUUAGGUGUGUUGAGACUAGCUUGAUAAGGGUAGGUGUGUUGGUAAGGUUAGGUGUGUUGGUAAGGUUAGGUGUGUUGGUAAGGUUAGGUGUGUUGGUAAGGUUAGGUGUGUUGGUAAGGUUAGGUGUGUUGGUAAGGUUAGGUGUGUUGGUAAGGUUAGGUGUGUUGAGACUAGCUUGAUAAGGGUAGGUGUGUUGGUAAGGUUAGGUGUGUUGGUAAGGUUAGGUGUGUUGGUAAGGUUAGGUGUGUUGGUAAGGUUAGGUGUUUUGGUAAGGUUAGGUGUUUUGGUAAGGUUUGGUGUGAUGGUAAG